Molecule: long non-coding RNA, 257 nt
Filed under: Elaeis guineensis (African oil palm)
Lineage: Eukaryota; Viridiplantae; Streptophyta; Magnoliopsida; Arecales; Arecaceae
Description: long non-coding RNA (EGUI_LNC005879)
Source: RNAcentral
AGGUCCAUAGAAAGCAAGAAAAGCAGGGGAGGCGCUAGGGUUUUGAGCCCCUCCCCCUUUGUGCCGCUAACCAUAUUGCCUCUCCCUCUCUUGCAGCCGCCCAAACAUCAGGUCCAGGAUUUGAAAUCUCUUGCUAUGAGGUUGGUACAAGUUUCUCUUAGAUCUGGAGUUGAUCUGAGGUCGUUUGAGGUGCGGGUGAGAUCUUCAUCAACAGAUCUACAGGAAAGGCUGCAGCAGGACAGAUCUGUAAGGUCUGG